This 253-nucleotide ribosomal RNA is filed under the name uncultured bacterium. RNAcentral's name for it is "partial 16S ribosomal RNA". It matches the Rfam family "Bacterial small subunit ribosomal RNA", at positions 524 to 776 of the family's 1533-position model. The record is from RNAcentral.
UACAGAGGGUGCAAGCGUUAAUCGGAAUUACUGGGCGUAAAGCGUGCGUAGACGGUUGCGUAAGUCAGAUGUGAAAGCCCCGGGCUCAACCUGGGAAUUGCAUUUGAGACUGCGUAGCUAGGGUGCGGAAGAGGGAAGCGGAAUUUCCGGUGUAGCGGUGAAAUGCGUAGAUAUCGGAAGGAACACCAGUGGCGAAAGCGGCUUCCUGGUCCAGCACCGACGUUCAGGCACGAAAGCGUGGGGAGCGAACAGG